GGAGGUUUUAAAUUGCUGACAUGAUGAGUACUGGGUGUUCUAUGUGGUGCUUUGAGGCUCAAGUGACUUGGCCUCGUUCACAGCAUCCAGUGCUUGUGGCCUCUGUCUCUUCAGUGCAGAUUCAAGUGCAGCACGUACAGGAGUGUGACCCCUGUUGUCUCCCUGGUGGUUGUGCAUCACAGUAGUAAGUUGUCUUGGUUCUGAACCUUCUGCCUGGGUUGAGGUUCAGGCCUUUACUUGGGUGUCUUCUUUUGCUGGCUUCUUUCUGUCUU
Molecule: long non-coding RNA, 272 nt
Filed under: Mustela putorius furo (domestic ferret)
Lineage: Eukaryota; Metazoa; Chordata; Mammalia; Carnivora; Mustelidae
Description: lncRNA (ENSMPUG00000029743.1)
Source: RNAcentral